Molecule: transfer RNA, 73 nt
Filed under: Stegodyphus mimosarum
Lineage: Eukaryota; Metazoa; Arthropoda; Arachnida; Araneae; Eresidae
Rfam family: tRNA
About the family: Transfer RNA (tRNA) molecules are approximately 80 nucleotides in length. Their secondary structure includes four short double-helical elements and three loops (D, anti-codon, and T loops).
Source: Rfam by way of RNAcentral
GCCUUCGUGGUGUAGUGGUCAGCACGCUCGACGCGUAUUCGAGAGGAGCGUGGUUCGAAUCCCGGCGAGGGUA